AGAGUUUGAUCCUGGCUCAGGAUGAACGCUGGCGGCGUGCCUAACACAUGCAAGUCGAGCGAUCUUCUUCGGAAGAGAGCGGCGGACGGGUGAGUAACGCGUGGGUAACCUGCCCUGUACACACGGAUAACAUACCGAAAGGUAUGCUAAUACGAGAUAAUAUGCUUUUGUCGCAUGGUAGAAGUAUCAAAGCUCCGGCGGUACAGGAUGGACCCGCGUCUGAUUAGCUAGUUGGUAAGGUAACGGCUUACCAAGGCGACGAUCAGUAGCCGACCUGAGAGGGUGAUCGGCCACAUUGGAACUGAGACACGGUCCAAACUCCUACGGGAGGCAGCAGUGGGGAAUAUUGCACAAUGGGCGAAAGCCUGAUGCAGCAACGCCGCGUGAGCGAUGAAGGCCUUCGGGUCGUAAAGCUCUGUCCUCAAGGAAGAUAAUGACGGUACUUGAGGAGGAAGCCCCGGCUAACUACGUG
Molecule: ribosomal RNA, 472 nt
Filed under: uncultured bacterium
Lineage: Bacteria
Description: bacterial SSU rRNA
Rfam family: Bacterial small subunit ribosomal RNA
Source: RNAcentral